Molecule: non-coding RNA, 276 nt
Organism: Podarcis muralis (Common wall lizard)
Lineage: Eukaryota; Metazoa; Chordata; Lepidosauria; Squamata; Lacertidae
Source: RefSeq, a predicted model, not a curated record
CAGGUUCGUAGAAAAGGCAGAGGUGGAAAUUCCAGGCUCAAGCCCCACCUUCUCCAUGCUAUAAAUUUGGACAGAGGCUUCUGGAGUGAGAACCAAAGCAGAAGAGCAGCAAGCAGCCUUGGAUCGAGAACCACAGACACAACCAUGGCCAGAGUCCCAGAUGUGUUGCUGAGAGACAUCAGUGAGGAAGAGAUGGAGAUGGAGUUCUCAUUCGGCAACGAGGUAAGAAACCUUCAACAUUUUGCGGGGUGGGAAGGGAAAACCCCAUUACACAGC